UAUCACAUGAUAAAUGGGCCCACCCCCAGCUGUGAUGGAUGUGACUAGUUCCCCUUUCUUUCCUCUUCUCUGAGCUGGGCCUGGCUAAUCAGGUGAUUAAGAGCCAGGUUGCAGAGGCUGGGGGUGUGAAGAGCAGGUGGAACAGCAGCUGGUGUGCAGUAUAACUUGUUAACUCGAGGGCUGGCUGAUUCUGCUGCAAUUGCACCUCUCCUUCCAGCCACAAAAUUUUAUGAAAUGCCUCAUGGACAAAAUGUGGUGUUAAGGACAGAAAUCAACAAGCUGGGGGGGCGGGGGGGGGGGGGGGAAGUGAACUGAAAAUGGAAGAAGUGGGGAAGUCAGUCAUUGUGCAAUGGUAUUUUGGCUGAUGGAAGAGAAGGCCCCUCCUGGAAUUUACCAAAAGGACAGCACUUAAAAAAAAAAAAAAGAAAAAAAAAAAAAAGAAACCAAAAAGCCACUUUCUGCUUCACCCAUAGAGGCAGAGCGGGAGGAAUGAGGACUGGCAUGACUGGCCUUUUCAUGCUGGGGAGAGGUUCUGCUGCUGCAUGCCAUGUGAGACUGUAUGAGCGCAGACACAUUCUGGGAAUCGCAUCCUUUGCCUGUCAUUAACUGACUGCAAUUCAGGAAUUAAAGGUGCUGGUGACACAGCUCUAAAGCUGAUGUGGCACGGUGCAGAGGCAUGUAUGUGGACGCAGGCAACUUCUUCGAACGAGGCGCAGCUUCUUCCCAGGGCUUAGGCCCCCAAUCUGACCUUUUGGUACACAACUUGGCUUUUACUGUGAGCACAAGCUACUACUGAGACACCUCUUGGAGCUGAAGUCCAGGAACCACCUGGGUUUGCAAGGAGAGGGGCAGCACGAGAACGUUUUCUGUCCGUGUGGUGCUGACAACUGUGAUGGCUUUUUUACCCUUCUGGCUAACGAGUGCUGCCUCUCGCGAAGCAUCACCUCACCGUUUACCUCAUCAGAACAUUGGGUAAAAAAUAAUGAAAUAAAAAAGGAGCAGCUGCUUCAGUUUAAAAGGUGAGUUUGUGGGCAGGUGAGGAAAGAGAAAGCAGUGUUCAGCUCCGGGUGUCGGGCUUCUCCCCUGGCCACUCAGUCGAGUGCCCUUUCCCUAGGCAGGGGUGAAGCUAAGGUAGGAGCUGCUGAGGGGUCCGUUUUCAGGGAGUUAGCAUUUAUUUAUUUACUUGCAAGAGAGAAUGGUAAUUGGGGGUACCUUGGUGGGGUAAUAGUUCACAAAGAAUUAUGACUUUUUUUUGUCUUCUGACCCUGGCUGCUGUGCAGGAGAGUGAAAAAAUGGGAUAUAAAAAGAGCAGCCCGAGCGUGUGGUGUGUGGCAAAGGCACAUGGAAGCUUCAAGCACUCACUAGGAGCGGACCCCAGGGACACCCCCUUCCUUUUGGCACCUUAUUUCAUGUAAGAGAGCAGGCUGAUCUGCUCAACAGCUGCCAGGCUGAGUGGUUGCUGUUGUCCUGAUGCAGCACCUCAGUGACAUUUACCGAAACCAGCCACUGCUUUCCAGGCAGCUGCAGCUGCCUUGGGAGCUCAAGCAUUUUGGAAAGAGCACCACACACAUCAGAUAAAAUCCCUUCUCAGCCUCCUGGCUCUCAUGUAAAGUGAAGCGCCUGCACAAAGGUGAUGGCCAAGAGCUCAGGAAAUGCUCCAAACACUUCUUGGACUGAGUAUUCACCAAAUUUGUGAAGAACUCAGAGUAAAGGUGCCAGCAUUAGCUCUUACCAGACUUGGCCUCCUUCAUCCAUGCCUGAUUCUCCAUCUUGGACCUUGAAACAGCCAUGCCACUGUUUCCUGAGGAAGCACAGCAGAAUCAGCAUGUCCUCUGCCAGCGCCUGGAAAGCAAUGUUUCUGCCAGCUAAACAGAGGAACUGUACUCUGGUAAACGUGUGCAUCAGGCUGGUUGUAUUAAUCACAAUGCUUUUAGUAUGUGGUAACCAUAAAGUGAUCUGUGUUUUGCAAUUUUCUCCUUUAGUUUGGCCUCACAGCCAUGGUUAUCUGCUAGCUAGCUUGCUAGGCCAAGGUCCAGGGCAUCCAAAGAAGUGCCUGGUGGCCAAGCCACUUCCAGACUGGCCCUCUGAUGAGGGCAGCAGAGCUGAGGGACUGCAGACCCUGCUUGCUGGAGACUUUAAACACACAGUGGCUUCCAGAGCAGAAAUGACAAGUUGCCAUGCUACAAAGGCUUACACCAUUGAAGAGCUGCUCCUGUGUUGAACAAAACAGGAAGGAGUCCUAAAACCUAGGAACUAACCACAAGGAUCUAGUUCAUUGAAGUCUGACCUGGUAACCUUCUAAACGGCCAUUUGAUCCCAUCCAUCAAAUUCAGUCCAUUUGUAUAGGAUGAAAGAAAAUAAGUUCUCUUGAACACAGAAGUCUGGGAACAUAAACAGCUGAGGCUGCUGACUUAAACAGUUUAACCCCAGCUGCUGAUGGUCUUACGUCCUGUCUGCUACAGCUUGGAAGUCACAAUGGGAAGUCUGACAAGUGCUGGCUGCUAAAGAGAUUCCUUCUUACCCAUAACCAGCCAAGAAUCCGAGGCUUGGUGGACUGACUUUAUCACUGAAUAUGAAGAGUUCAAGACUCUCUUCAGAUGUUUUGUAUCUUUUUCCAAGCUGAUUCAAAACCCACCACUCACG
Falco peregrinus (peregrine falcon) is the source of this 2643-nucleotide long non-coding RNA. RefSeq lists it as uncharacterized. Lineage: Eukaryota; Metazoa; Chordata; Aves; Falconiformes; Falconidae. The record is from RefSeq and is a predicted model, not a curated record. The transcript is spliced from 6 exons.